This 354-nucleotide ribosomal RNA is filed under the name uncultured bacterium. RNAcentral's name for it is "bacterial SSU rRNA". It matches the Rfam family "Bacterial small subunit ribosomal RNA", at positions 1 to 334 of the family's 1533-position model. The record is from RNAcentral.
CGCUCGACAUCAGAGUUUGAUCCUGGCUCAGGAUGAACGCUGGCGGCGUGCUUAACACAUGCAAGUCGAACGGACUUGUGUAUCGGAAGUUUUCGGAUGGAAGAUAUAUAAGUUAGUGGCGGACGGGUGAGUAACGCGUGGGUAACCUGCCCUAUACCGGGGGAUAACACUUAGAAAUAGGUGCUAAUACCGCAUAAGCGCACGAGGUCGCAUGACCCAGUGUGAAAAACUCCGGUGGUAUAGGAUGGACCCGCGUCCGAUUAGCCGGUUGGCGGGGUAGAGGCCCACCAAAGCAACGAUCGGUAGCCGGCCUGAGAGGGUGACCGGCCACAUUGGGACUGAGACACGGCCCAA